Molecule: ribosomal RNA, 427 nt
Filed under: uncultured bacterium
Lineage: Bacteria
Description: partial 16S ribosomal RNA
Rfam family: Bacterial small subunit ribosomal RNA
Source: RNAcentral
UGGGGAAUAUUGGACAAUGGGCGAAAGCCUGAUCCAGCCAUGCCGCGUGUGUGAAGAAGGUCUUCGGAUUGUAAAGCACUUUAAGUUGGGAGGAAGGGCAUUAACCUAAUACGUUAGUGUUUUGACGUUACCGACAGAAUAAGCACCGGCUAACUCUGUGCCAGCAGCCGCGGUAAUACAGAGGGUGCAAGCGUUAAUCGGAAUUACUGGGCGUAAAGCUCGCGUAGGUGGUUUGUUAAGUUGGAUGUGAAAGCCCCGGGCUCAACCUGGGAACUGCAUCCAAAACUGGCAAGCUAGAGUACGGUAGAGGGUGGUGGAAUUUCCUGUGUAGCGGUGAAAUGCGUAGAUAUAGGAAGGAACACCAGUGGCGAAGGCGACCACCUGGACUGAUACUGACACUGAGGUGCGAAAGCGUGGGGAGCAAACA